AAAGAUGGAUGCGUGAUUGUGACUAUGGGGGAUACAUAUGAAAAGUGAUUGGACAAGUUAGAGGUACAACAUUGUACGGAAAUGAAUUAGUUGUGAUGUAAUUGGACAUGAUGUACACUAGUCAUGACAUGCAUUAUUGAGCGAAGAUAUAUUGAAGGAGCAAUGAGGAUGGUGCGAACAGGUCAGGGGUGUGGCAGCACACAGUUGAG
Molecule: long non-coding RNA, 209 nt
Filed under: Setaria viridis
Lineage: Eukaryota; Viridiplantae; Streptophyta; Magnoliopsida; Poales; Poaceae
Description: long non-coding RNA (SVIR_LNC007296)
Source: RNAcentral